UAAUACGAAGGGGGCUAGCGUUGUUCGGAUUUACUGGGCGUAAAGCGCGCGUAGGCGGGUCACUAAGUCAGGGGUGAAAUCCCGAGGCUUAACCUCGGAACUGCCUUUGAUACUGGUGACCUGGAGAUCGGGAGAGGUUGGUGGAAUUCCGAGUGUAGAGGUGAAAUUCGUAGAUAUUCGGAGGAACACCAGAAGCGAAG
This 200-nucleotide ribosomal RNA is filed under the name uncultured bacterium. RNAcentral describes it as "partial 16S ribosomal RNA". It matches the Rfam family "Bacterial small subunit ribosomal RNA", at positions 521 to 720 of the family's 1533-position model. The record is from RNAcentral.